RNAcentral lists this ribosomal RNA (497 nucleotides) under uncultured bacterium. Its description in RNAcentral is "partial 16S ribosomal RNA". It matches the Rfam family "Bacterial small subunit ribosomal RNA", at positions 28 to 507 of the family's 1533-position model. The record is from RNAcentral.
GAUGAACGCUGGCGGCGUGCCUAAUACAUGCAAGUCGAGCGAACGGACGAGAAGCUUGCUUCUCUGAUGUUAGCGGCGGACGGGUGAGUAACACGUGGAUAACCUACCUAUAAGACUGGGAUAACUUCGGGAAACCGGAGCUAAUACCGGAUGAUAUUUUGAACCGCAUGGUUCAAAAGUGAAAGACGGUCUUGCUGUCACUUAUAGAUGGAUCCGCGCUGCAUUAGCUAGUUGGUAAGGUAACGGCUUACCAAGGCAACGAUUCGUAGCCGACCUGAGAGGGUGAUCGGCCACACUGGAACUGAGACACGGUCCAGACUCCUACGGGAGGCAGCAGUAGGGAAUCUUCCGCAAUGGGCGAAAGCCUGACGGAGCAACGCCGCGUGAGUGAUGAAGGUCUUCGGAUCGUAAAACUCUGUUAUUAGGGAAGAACAUAUGUGUAAGUAACUGUGCACAUCUUGACGGUACCUAAUCAGAAAGCCACGGCUAACUACGUG